GACGAACGCUGGCGGCGUGCUUAACACAUGCAAGUCGAACGGAAAGGCCCUGCUUGCAGGGUACUCGAGUGGCGAACGGGUGAGUAACACGUGGGUGAUCUGCCCUGCACUUCGGGAUAAGCCUGGGAAACUGGGUCUAAUACCGGAUAGGAGCCAUUUUUAGUGUGAUGGUUGGAAAGUUUUUUCGGUGUAGGAUGAGCUCGCGGCCUAUCAGCUUGUUGGUGGGGUAAUGGCCUACCAAGGCGGCGACGGGUAGCCGGCCUGAGAGGGUGGACGGCCUCAUUGGGACUGAGAUACGGCCCAGACUCCUACGGGAGGCAGCAGUGGGGAAUAUUGCACAAUGGGCGCAAGCCUGAUGCAGCGACGCCGCGUGGGGGAGGACGGCCUUCGGGUUGUAAACUCCUUUCGCUAGGGACGAAGCUUUUUGUGACGGUACCUAGAUAAGAAGCACCGGCUAACUACGUG
RNAcentral lists this ribosomal RNA (465 nucleotides) under uncultured bacterium. RNAcentral's name for it is "partial 16S ribosomal RNA". It matches the Rfam family "Bacterial small subunit ribosomal RNA", at positions 28 to 507 of the family's 1533-position model. The record is from RNAcentral.